GGCAGUUCUCGGAUGAUGCACACAGAAUCGGACUCCCUCCUCUCUAGUUCCAGGGUGUGUCACCCGAGAACCACC
Non-coding RNA from Myotis lucifugus (little brown bat), 75 nucleotides. NCBI's taxonomy places the organism in Eukaryota, Metazoa, Chordata, Mammalia, Chiroptera, Vespertilionidae. The record is from Rfam.